CAUGGACGUAGCUAAAUAGUUAAAGUACCUCCCUUACACCAAGGAGACACCUGUGCGAACCAGGUCGCCCUAC
Molecule: transfer RNA, 73 nt
Filed under: Fowlerichthys scriptissimus (calico frogfish)
Lineage: Eukaryota; Metazoa; Chordata; Actinopteri; Lophiiformes; Antennariidae
Description: tRNA-Val
Rfam family: tRNA
About the family: Transfer RNA (tRNA) molecules are approximately 80 nucleotides in length. Their secondary structure includes four short double-helical elements and three loops (D, anti-codon, and T loops).
Source: RNAcentral